AUUGAACGCUGGCGGCAGGCCUAACACAUGCAAGUCGAACGGUAACAGGAAGCAGCUUGCUGCUUCGCUGACGAGUGGCGGACGGGUGAGUAAUGUCUGGGAAACUGCCUGAUGGAGGGGGAUAACUACUGGAAACGGUAGCUAAUACCGCAUAACGUCGCAAGACCAAAGAGGGGGACCUUCAGGCCUCUUGCCAUCGGAUGUGCCCAGAUGGGAUUAGCUAGUAGGUGGGUAACGGAUCACCUAGGCGACGAUCCCUAGCCGGUCUGAGAGGAUGACCAGCCACACUGGAACUGAGACACGGUCCAGACUCCUACGGGAGGCAGCAGUGGGGAAUAUUGCACAAUGGGCGCAAGCCUGAUGCAGCCAUGCCGCGUGUAUGAAGAAGGCCUUCGGGUUGUAAAGUACUUUCAGCGGGGAGGAAGGCGAUAAGGUUAAUAACCUUGUCGAUUGACGUUACCCGCAGAAGAAGCACCGGCUAACUCCGUGCCAGCAGCCGCCGUAA
Molecule: ribosomal RNA, 505 nt
Filed under: uncultured bacterium
Lineage: Bacteria
Description: partial 16S ribosomal RNA
Rfam family: Bacterial small subunit ribosomal RNA
Source: RNAcentral